RNAcentral lists this ribosomal RNA (380 nucleotides) under uncultured bacterium. RNAcentral describes it as "bacterial SSU rRNA". It matches the Rfam family "Bacterial small subunit ribosomal RNA", at positions 29 to 412 of the family's 1533-position model. The record is from RNAcentral.
AUUGAACGCUGGCGGAAUGCUUUACACAUGCAAGUCGAGCGGCAGCGCGGGGCAACCUGGCGGCGAGCGGCGAACGGGUGAGUAAUGCAUCGGAACGUACCCCGUCGUGGGGGAUAACUACCCGAAAGGGUAGCUAAUACCGCAUACGACCUGAGGGUGAAAGCGGGGGACCGAAAGGCCUCGCGCGAUGGGAGCGGCCGAUGCCGGAUUAGCUAGUUGGUAGGGUAAAGGCCUACCAAGGCGACGAUCCGUAGCUGGUCUGAGAGGACGACCAGCCACACUGGAACUGAGACACGGUCCAGACUCCUACGGGAGGCAGCAGUGGGGAAUUUUGGACAAUGGGCGCAAGCCUGAUCCAGCCAUUCCGCGUGAGUGAAGAA